This is a non-coding RNA of Pogona vitticeps (central bearded dragon), 164 nucleotides long. The record is from RefSeq and is a predicted model, not a curated record. NCBI's taxonomy places the organism in Eukaryota, Metazoa, Chordata, Lepidosauria, Squamata, Agamidae.
AGCAAAGGGGCCUGGUGGUGGGUUGAGGACUCAAGAAAGCUCUCCUGGAAGCAGAAGCAGCUGUUAGGUGAACAUGGGCCAUGAGUUAACUCUGCCCGAAAGAGAGGCUUCCAUCUUGGGCCUGCCUGUUAAGGAGACAUCGGAGACUGUCUGCACCAUCCUGG